GCAUACUGUGGUGAAUACGUUCCCGGGCCUUGUACACACCGCCCGUCACACCAUGAGAGUUGAGAAUACCCGAAGCCCAUGUCAAAGUGGUCGAAGGUAGGCUUGAUGAUUGGGGUGAAGUCGUAACAAGGUAAC
Molecule: ribosomal RNA, 135 nt
Filed under: uncultured bacterium
Lineage: Bacteria
Description: partial 16S ribosomal RNA
Rfam family: Bacterial small subunit ribosomal RNA
Source: RNAcentral